RNAcentral lists this long non-coding RNA (167 nucleotides) under Gorilla gorilla gorilla (western lowland gorilla). RNAcentral describes it as "lncRNA (ENSGGOG00000044605.1)". Lineage: Eukaryota; Metazoa; Chordata; Mammalia; Primates; Hominidae. The record is from RNAcentral.
CAGUCUUACUCUGCAUACAAGAAAGAUUGUCAUUUGGUUGAAUUUUCUUUGGAAUCUGUAGAUAAAGAAGGAAGAUGUUUCUUGUGUCUGAUCAAUAACACAGAAGCAACUGAAGAAACAAUAUGUGGAUGCUUCAAAGAUGAGUGAAAACAUUUCUUCCAAUACCC